UUUUACAAUGAAGAGUUUGAUCCUGGCUCAGGAUGAACGCUAGCUACAGGCUUAACACAUGCAAGUCGAGGGGCAGCGGGAUUGAAGCUUGCUUCAAUCGCCGGCGACCGGCGCACGGGUGAGUAACGCGUAUCCAACCUUCCGUUUACUCAGGGAUAGCCUUUCGAAAGAAAGAUUAAUACCUGAUAGUAUGGUAAGAUUGCAUGAUA
Molecule: ribosomal RNA, 209 nt
Filed under: Bacteroides caecigallinarum
Lineage: Bacteria; Pseudomonadati; Bacteroidota; Bacteroidia; Bacteroidales; Bacteroidaceae
Description: partial 16S ribosomal RNA
Rfam family: Bacterial small subunit ribosomal RNA
Source: RNAcentral